AGUUGUUUAACUAUGGCAAAAAGAAGUUUUUAUUGGUUGAACUGCAUAAAUUAAUUUUAUCUUUUGUAUAUAAGAUUUCUUCAGAGCCUAUUAGCAGUUAGUAUUUUAGCAGAAUUGUUUUUUCUAAGCAAUCAUUAUAAAAAGGGGAUAGCUCACAGUGCCAGCAUCCGCGGUUAUUCUGUUUUCUUUGCUUCUAUAUUGGUUAAGCUUAGGCUUAUAUUAGGGAGGUUAGGUGAAAUUUUCUUCCGAUUAAUAUUAAAGCUUAAUAAAUGCUAGUAAGAUAAAAUUAUAUGACAGGGAUUAGAGACCCCAUUAAUUUUUAUUAUAUUAAUAACUUUGGUUUUGUAACUAAAAUAGUUUGGCAGUGAGUUAUUCCUGUUAGGGGAAGGUGUGUUGUAAAGGACGAUCCGCCCAAUAAAUUACCUGUUUUAUGCUGGUGUAUAUCUGGUUGAAUAUUAUUGUUUAGUGAUUUAAAUUGUGUAAUAUUAUUUAAGCCAAGUCUAUGUGCUGCGUGUACAGGAUUUCAUGCGUUACUGUGAUAGGUAUGAUUAUGUAACUGAAACUAGGUUUAGGACUUAAAAGUAAAACUAAAUAAGGUUGUUAGUUUGAAGAAGGUUUAACUCAGGUACACACCGCCCGUCACCCUCGGUUAUUGUUGAGGUAAGUCGUAACAUGGUAACCCCAAAUGAAUUUGGGGUUAAUUGCAGGUUUAUU
RNAcentral lists this non-coding RNA (714 nucleotides) under Rhinebothrium taeniuri. Lineage: Eukaryota; Metazoa; Platyhelminthes; Cestoda; Rhinebothriidea; Rhinebothriidae. The record is from RNAcentral.